GUGUGAUUUUAGUGGCAGACAGAGAGGCCUUGACAGGAUUUGCGAUGCCAUCAAUGCCAGGAAUUGCGUUGUGUGUCACAGAACCUAAUAGCCUUUCCCCGUGCAAGCCGUGAUUAUCGGUGGCUCAGGCAUGUCACUUUGGCACAGACCCACACGGGGCUGUCACAGGGCAUGUGUUGGGGUUAGUGUGUCAGGUGCUGGGGCUGAGAAGUGUCUCCUGUGGAAUUUGGGGGAAAUGGGAGCGGCCCCAGCUGAUGGUGUGGGUUGCCAUGCGACAGGACCGCUGUCUCCAAGUGCAGCACAGACCUGGCCUGCUCGCUGUGCUCCCCGUGGGCAGAGGCUGCGGCUUCCCUGCCUCAGCGAACCAGAGGGAGACAGGGGUUAGGUUCUUCUGUCACACCCAUCCUGGCAGCAGCUGGCUCCCAGGAAAGAGGAUGGUGUGCCCUAUCCAUCCUGUGGUGCUGUGCAUGGAGAGAGACCCUGGCAUGCCCUCAGCACUACUAGACCAUGCAGUGCAGAAGAUGCUGGUGGGGGAGCAGCUUUUGUACACCAAUGAUGAUGCUGUCAGCAAUCAGGACAAGCCCUUGCAAACAGUCUGCAAUGAUGCUGGGAUCUGCAAAUGGUGCUCUCAAAUCAGAAAGAUGGAAACAAAUCCCUAAUGUACACAUAGAGAAGAUGGGCCUUUCUGCCACCAUCUUAAGACACGUCU
Molecule: long non-coding RNA, 709 nt
Filed under: Pavo cristatus (Indian peafowl)
Lineage: Eukaryota; Metazoa; Chordata; Aves; Galliformes; Phasianidae
Description: lncRNA (ENSPSTG00000018175.1)
Source: RNAcentral